AGAGACGGGAUUUCACCAUGUUUCCCAGGCUGAUCUCAAACUCCUGGACUCAAGCGAUCCUCCCACCUCGGCCUCCCACAGUGCUGGGAUGACAGGCGUGAGCCACCACACUGGCCCGGGCUGUGCAUUUGUUUGCAUUCUUCUCAAAUUAGUUUUCAGUUUCCCUGAUGGUCUCUUUGACUCACUGGUUGUUUAGGAGUGUGUAAUUUCCACAUAUUUUUGAAUUUCUCACAUUUCCUUCACUAUUGAUUUCCAGUUUCGUGCCAGUACAGCUGAAGAACACCUCUGCUUCGGUCUCAGUCCUUCUCCAUUCACUGCGGCUCAUUUUGUGGCCUGGCACAUGGUCUGUCAUGGGGAAUGUCCCCUGGGUGCUGGAGAGGACUGUGUAUUCAGCUGUUGUUGGGUGGCGUGUGUAACAGAUGUCCAUUCAGCGUACCUGGUUUCCUGUGUUAAUCUCCGGAAUGUUUCUGGCACUAGAAAAUCAGAAGCUUUCCACUGUUCCCAGCGCCCUGGCUUUGGGAGAGGCCAGUGAGCAUGUGGCUUGGGAGCCUGGUUGCAUGAGAGAAGCAUGUGUGGGAACACCAGGGGCCGGCUUUGAACCCCAUUCCCCCAACAUGAUGCCGUGUGUGGCAGACAUGACGCUUGGCUUUGCUCUCUCAGCGUUCCAUCGGCGACAGGGGCUACUUGUGCCCCUGGCCUCAUCAGCUCAGGCUGAAGGCAGCCCUGGUCCUGGCCUGAGGGGCUUUGUGAAGCAGAAAUAGAUGGCCUGGUGCAGGGGCCGAGCCUGGCCAGGACCUCGGCCCUGGGAGUUGUAAAGAAGGCUGGCCUCUACCAUGAGCCUCUGCACCAAGGUGUGCCCAUGUGACUGUGUGCUCGGCGUCUGCCCUGGCACGGGUGCAUGGCCUGUGUGCGCUCAGUCUCCCUGCCUAUGGGGCCCAGGCUCACAGAGGUGUGAAAGAGGCAAGCACGGCGCAGGGGCCUCCGAGCCCAGCCAGCCUCGCUUCGAUGCUGGGAGACUAACGUCUUCCAUUUUGUCUUCUGCCCAGGCCAGUUGCGGGCCGUCCACCGGCUGUGCUACUUCUACAGCACCGUCAUGCCCAGCGAGGCCCAGUGUGUCAUCUACCAUGAGCUCCAGCUCUCCCUGGCCCGCAAGGUGGCCGGCAAGGUGCUGGAGGGGCAGCUCCUGGAGACCAUCAGUCAACUCUACCUGUCCCUGGGCACCAAGCGGGCCUGCAAAUCCACUCUGGACUACACCAAGGAAGUCUGGGGAUUUUCACUGACCUUCAGAAGGAAGAGAAGGAGGCGCAUGCCUGGCUGCAAGCAGGGAAGAUCUAUUACAUCCUGCGGCAGAGCGAGCUGGUGGACCUGUACAUCCAGGUGGCACAGAAUGUGGUCCUGUACACAGGCGACCCCAGCCUGAGGCUGGAGCUGUUUGAGGCAGCUGGAGACAUCUUCUUCAAUGGGGCCUGGGAGCGGGAGAAAGCCGUGUCCUUCUACGGGGACCGGGUCCUGGCCCUGGCAGUGACUACGGGCAACUGAAGGCGGAGCUGCAGCUACAGCUGUGCAACAAGCUGGUGGCACUCCUGGCCACACUGGAGAAGCCCCAGGACGGCUUGGAGUUUGCCUACAUGGCCCUAGCACCCAGCAUCACUCUGGGUAAGUCCCCUGAGCCCCCACCCUGCCAGGACCCACACUUUGCCAGAGCCCAGCCUCCAGGUCUGCAGGGCAGGAGCUGAAACAGCUGCUGGAUUUUCCUGGUCUCCUGUCCAGGCAGGCAGAUCUGCCCAACUGGCUUCCCCGUCUAGCUGUGGGGCACGGCCCGAGGUGUCUCACGCAGUGCAGAGCUCCCUGCCUGACUGAGCUCUGUUUCCUCUGCCUGUUCCCGCUGCUGACCACAAGGGCCGCCCAGUGUGCCCUCUGCCUUCCAGACAUGCCAGGCAUCUCGUUGGUCCCUGUAUGUGCCAGGCUGAGUGGCACAUUCCCUUUCUCUUGUGCCCUACCCAACCUCAUCAACCACACGGCUCUCUGGCUGAUAAAAUCCCAGUUCUCCUUCCAGCAGUCGGCACCUUAAGGCCGGGCAUCCCCUGGUGCUGUGCCAGGGUCGUCUGUCCCCCUCCAGAGACAGGGAACCCUAGGCAGGCCGCAUGCCCCAGCACCUUGUGCCCCGUGGCCCAGUACACAGUAGGUGUGCAGCUGACUCCCCAAAGUAGGGGGCUGUGAUUGUGACACACGCAGGAGGAGUCGGAUGUCACGUCUGUGGGUUGCCUGGAGCCGGGGUGCCCGGGAGCACCUGGACUGCAUGGCUUUUGGGCUCCCCUGGUUAAAACCAGUGAGCCAAGGCAGGUGGCUAUGUGUAGGCACAGAGCUGGGCCAUCCAAGUCCGACUUUGCCAAAGCCUCACAGUAGACAGGGGCAGGCCUUAUUAGUUCUGCUUUGCAGAUGGGAAAGUGAGUCUGGGAACCUGGAAGGGACUGGCCAGAGCUGCCCAGGCGACCGCAGGUGCCUGGAGGCAAGCCAGGUGCUGCCCGGGGUCUGCAUACCUGCUCCUGAGGGGCCUGUGCCCUCCCUGCCCCAGGGAGCCACUUCCUCACACCUGCCCCUUUGGCCUGCA
Non-coding RNA from Macaca mulatta (Rhesus monkey), 2611 nucleotides. NCBI's taxonomy places the organism in Eukaryota, Metazoa, Chordata, Mammalia, Primates, Cercopithecidae. The record is from RefSeq and is a predicted model, not a curated record.